GCGGAGCCGCUGCCCGGGGGAGGGAGUUGGGAGUGAGGGGACAGCGGGCCGCAUGGUUUCAGGGGGAUUUGAAGGAUUCUCAAAUUCUGUCAGCUUUAUAAAUGGACAUCAUGUGAGAGACGGUCACUUACUGUCAGAAAUAAAACUGUACCUGCUCCUGCCCAGCUACCUCAAUGAGACAGUGAACAGAGAUUAACACCGAGAACAUCAGUAUUUUGUUGCAGAGGAAAGCACCAGAGGAGCUGUUUAAUACAAGGAUACAGAAAGGAUCCACACUCCUGCUGUCUAGGUUACAUAGCUUGUUUAACAAGGUCUGGGUAAGUUACAGGAAGUCCUCCAAGGUUCAUUACACGUCUCUGCAGCACUGCUCGGAGUCUGCUCACUGACCACGCGUCACACAGGACAUCUGGAUGCCCCUGUUUCACUUGGGGUGCAAAGCUUGCUCGCGUACGAUCCCGCCGAGGUACAGGGCGAGCCGUGCCCACAUCCACUCCGGCAGGCGCUCGGCCAGCGCGAACUGUGGAGAGGCAACGGGGGAACAGAGCACAGGGAAAGGGAGGGACACGUUAGGAAACAUUCCACUCAACUGCUUCUCAAAUCACUACCAAAGCAAGGCAAAACCUGCUUGAGCAUCAGCAACUAAGCCUUAAAUUCCAGCCCUUGGAAGUUAAGCUAUUUAGCUGUUUUGGAAGGAGCACCCACAACUGAACAGUAAAGUUCUGCAAAUAAAUCCUAAAGCAGUUUGGACAAGUUC
Long non-coding RNA from Pipra filicauda (Wire-tailed manakin), 754 nucleotides. RefSeq lists it as uncharacterized. The transcript is spliced from 2 exons. Lineage: Eukaryota; Metazoa; Chordata; Aves; Passeriformes; Pipridae. The record is from RefSeq and is a predicted model, not a curated record.